GAUGAACGCUGGCGGCGUGCUUAACACAUGCAAGUCGAGCGAAGCGCUUAAACGGAUUUCUUCGGAUUGAAGUUUUUGUGACUGAGCGGCGGACGGGUGAGUAACGCGUGGGUAACCUGCCUCAUACAGGGGGAUAACAGUUAGAAAUGGCUGCUAAUACCGCGUAAGCGCACAGGACCGCAUGGUCUGGUGUAGAAAAACUCCGGUGGUAUGAGAUGGACCCGCGUCUGAUUAGCUAGUUGGAGGGGUAACGGCCCACCAAGGCGACGAUCAGUAGCCGGCCUGAGAGGGUGAACGGCACAUUGGGACUGAGACACGGCCCAGACUCCUACGGG
This 335-nucleotide ribosomal RNA is filed under the name uncultured bacterium. RNAcentral describes it as "bacterial SSU rRNA". It matches the Rfam family "Bacterial small subunit ribosomal RNA", at positions 28 to 345 of the family's 1533-position model. The record is from RNAcentral.